GUCCAGAUGGCUUAGUGGUGAGAGCAACUGCUUCCUAAGCAGAAGAUCCAGGUUGGAAUCCUGGUCUGGCACA
This is a non-coding RNA of Schistocerca serialis cubense, 73 nucleotides long. The record is from the annotation of a RefSeq genome assembly. Lineage: Eukaryota; Metazoa; Arthropoda; Insecta; Orthoptera; Acrididae.